AGAGUUUGUAGUCCUGGCGUACACGGAGUGAACGGCUGCGGUGCGCCGUACACAUAGCAAGUCGACGAAGGAAUGUGAAGGAACUUACGAGGGAAACACAAUGACUGAGUGGCGGACGGGUGAGUAACGCGUAGGGAACCUGGCCCGUUACAGGGGGAGUAACAGAUGGAAACAACUAGCUAAUACCGCAUAAGCGCCCAGCCUCGCAUGAGGCAGAGUGAAAACUAAGGUGGUAAGGGAUGGCCCUGCGUCCGAUUAGCUAGUUGGUAUGGUAACGGCAUACCAAGGCGACGAUCGGUAGCCGGCCUGAGAGGGUGGACGGCCACAUUGGGACUGAGACACGGCCCAAACUCCUACGGGAGGCAGCAGUGGGGGAUAUUGCACAAUGGGGGAAACCCUGAUGCAGCGACACCGCGUGGGUGAAGAAGCGCUUCGGCGUGUAAAGCCUUAUCAGUGGGGAAGAAAAAGGACGGUACCCAAAGAAGAAGCACCGGCUAAAUACGUG
This 505-nucleotide ribosomal RNA is filed under the name uncultured bacterium. RNAcentral describes it as "bacterial SSU rRNA". It matches the Rfam family "Bacterial small subunit ribosomal RNA", at positions 1 to 507 of the family's 1533-position model. The record is from RNAcentral.